Molecule: ribosomal RNA, 640 nt
Filed under: uncultured bacterium
Lineage: Bacteria
Description: bacterial SSU rRNA
Rfam family: Bacterial small subunit ribosomal RNA
Source: RNAcentral
UAAAGAUUCAUCGGCUGCGGAUGGCCAUGCGGCGCAUUAGCUAGUCGGCGGGGUAACGGCCCACCGAGGCGACGAUGCGUAGGGGUUCUGAGAGGAAGGUCCCCCACACUGGUACUGAGACACGGACCAGACUCCUACGGGAGGCAGCAGUGAGGAAUAUUGGUCAAUGGCCGGGAGGCUGAACCAGCCAAGUCGCGUGAGGGAAGACGGCCCUACGGGUUGUAAACCUCUUUUGUCAGGGAGCAAGGUGCAGGUCGGGACCUGCUGUGGGAGUACCUGAAGAAAAAGCAUCGGCUAACUCCGUGCCAGCAGCCGCGGUAAUACGGAGGAUGCGAGCGUUAUCCGGAUUUAUUGGGUUUAAAGGGUGCGCAGGCGGAGGCACAAGUCAGCGGUAAAAUCGCGGGGCUCAACCCCGCUCCGCCGUUGAAACUGUGUCCCUUGAGUGCGCGAAGGGUAGGCGGAAUGCGUGGUGUAGCGGUGAAAUGCAUAGAUAUCACGCAGAACUCCGAUCGCGAAGGCAGCCUACCGGCGCGCGACUGACGCUCAUGCACGAAAGCGUGGGUAUCGAACAGGAUUAGAUACCCUGGUAGUCCACGCAGUAAACGAUGAAUGCUAUCUGUCCGGCCGGAAUGACGGCUGG